AAAAAAAAAAAAAUCACAUGCACAAUUUUUUAGAAAGUUAUGGUAUUAAACAUUACUGUUAUUUCCUACAUCAACUGGGUAUUGGGGAAGAAUGUUUUAUAUGUGAUUUGGGCAAUCCUUCUCCCACUGAGUGGCUUUUGGGGUGGAGGUAGGUUCAGUUUGUUUUAUCAACAAUAACCUUUUAUGGAAAUGUAACUGCUCUGUGGUCAACAGUUCUUGAAGGAAAACCCACAUCAUAGCUAUGCUUAGAAAGAAUACAAUGGUUUUGAGAGUUUAAUAUUUUUUUGAAAAAUAAGAGGCCGAUAUUUUGGACAUGCAGCCAUGGAGUGCUGGUCCCUCCAUUCACAAAAUUAUUUUACUGUCAUUUCAUAUUUUAUUUUUCUUCUUGUUCUUAUGCUAGUACACUUCUGUAACCUGCAUGCCUCCUCCAUAUUUCUCUUUUUGGAUUCUACAUUAACUUGGAUAAUCGUCUCAUUUUCAUGAAUAACAGGCUUGUAUCAGUUGGGAAUUU
Molecule: unclassified non-coding RNA, 511 nt
Filed under: Hevea brasiliensis (rubber tree)
Lineage: Eukaryota; Viridiplantae; Streptophyta; Magnoliopsida; Malpighiales; Euphorbiaceae
Source: RNAcentral